This 247-nucleotide long non-coding RNA is filed under the name Elaeis guineensis (African oil palm). Its description in RNAcentral is "long non-coding RNA (EGUI_LNC009730)". Lineage: Eukaryota; Viridiplantae; Streptophyta; Magnoliopsida; Arecales; Arecaceae. The record is from RNAcentral.
UUGACCUACGAUAGUAUGACCACUUGCAGUAAGAUUGCUAGAGUUUAACUGAUACUUAAACAUGAUCUCAAUGAGUCCUUGUAGUGAAUGUUGGUGAUGGUUGAUCUACUAUAAGAGUAAGAUAUGCAACUAGAUGAAAUCUAUCGACCUUAAUAGAGAGGAAUAGUCCUAUGAGAUUUGAAAGGCUAAGUACGAGAGUCUGUAGCUACAGUAGUAUGAUUGAUAGAAAAGAGUUUCUAUGGAGAUC